This 747-nucleotide ribosomal RNA is filed under the name fungal sp. HU5_4S. Its description in RNAcentral is "eukaryotic LSU rRNA". The stretch from base 400 to 555 matches the Rfam family "5.8S ribosomal RNA". The record is from RNAcentral. Lineage: Eukaryota; Fungi.
CACCCCCCCCCCCCUUUUUUUUUUUUUUUUUCCCCCACUCCCCCGCGGUGGGCCCUCCCCCUCUCUCCUCCCGCGUACUUUUUCCCCCCCCUCUUCUGAACUCCCCCCCUUUUCCCGCACAACCCCCACCUUCCCGGAUCCUCCCCCCCUUGCGGUUUUUUUUUCCCUUUUCGAGGAAGCCUUCCUACCACAGCGAGCCCACUCCCCUUAUUAGAAGUAAAAGUCGUAACAAGGUUUCCGUAGGUGAACCUGCGGAAGGAUCAUUAACGAAUUUGAAUUAUCAUCAUUUUCUGUGAAUUUUUUUAUGAAUUUGCUUUUGGCUGGAAUGUAUUUUCUGGCCAAAAGAUAAACUCCAAUAAACUUUUUUUCGACAAAAACCAAAAGAUUUAAAUAAAUCAAAACUUUCAACAACGGAUCUCUUAGGUUCUCGCAUCGAUGAAGAACGCAGCGAAAUGCGAUACGUAAUGUGAAUUCGCAGAAUUUUGUGAAUCAUCGAAUCUUUGAACGCACAUUGCGCCUUUUGGUAUUCCAGAAGGCAUGCCUGUUUCAGCGUCAUUUCUCUCUCACUCUUGUGGUUUUGUUGUUUAUCUCUUCUCUAAGAAGAGUACUACGAAAAGAAAUGGCAGUGCUUAGGAAGUCUUUGCUACCUAGUGUUUUAGGUUCUACCAACUACACUUUCCAGCAGCUUCCAGUAAGUCGGCUUGAAAACCCUUUUCAACGUUGACCAGAAAUCAGGUAAGAUUACCC